AUACGGAGGGGACUAGCGUUGUUCGGAUUUACUGGGCGUAAAGCGCGCGUAGGCGGUUUGGAAAGUCAGAUGUGAAAUCCCAGGGCUCAACCCUGGAACUGCAUUUGAAACUAUCAGACUAGAGAUUGGGAGAGGUAAGUGGAAUUCCGAGUGUAGAGGUGAAAUUCGGAGAUAUUCGGAGGAACACCAGAGGCGAAGGCGACUUACUGGACCAAUACUGACGCUGAGGUGCGAAAGCGUGGGGAGCAAACAGGAUUAGAAACCCUAGUAGUCC
This 274-nucleotide ribosomal RNA is filed under the name uncultured bacterium. RNAcentral describes it as "partial 16S ribosomal RNA". It matches the Rfam family "Bacterial small subunit ribosomal RNA", at positions 523 to 796 of the family's 1533-position model. The record is from RNAcentral.